This 49-nucleotide transfer-messenger RNA is filed under the name Candidatus Rokuibacteriota bacterium. Its description in RNAcentral is "Candidatus Rokubacteria bacterium partial transfer-messenger RNA". It matches the Rfam family "transfer-messenger RNA", at positions 325 to 374 of the family's 374-position model. Rfam says of the family: Bacterial tmRNA, also known as 10Sa RNA or SsrA, is named for its dual tRNA and mRNA-like properties. Its role is to liberate the mRNA from a stalled ribosome. The record is from RNAcentral. Lineage: Bacteria; Candidatus Rokuibacteriota.
UGCGGCUGAGGGUUUCCGGACGUGGGUUCGAUUCCCACCGCCUCCACCA